This 463-nucleotide ribosomal RNA is filed under the name uncultured bacterium. Its description in RNAcentral is "bacterial SSU rRNA". It matches the Rfam family "Bacterial small subunit ribosomal RNA", at positions 9 to 489 of the family's 1533-position model. The record is from RNAcentral.
GAGUUUGAUCGUGGCUCAGGACGAACGCUGGCGGCGUGCCUAAUACAUGCAAGUCGAACGGGGUUGAGUGCUUCGGUAUUCAACCUAGUGGCGAACGGGUGAGUAACGCGUGAAGAACCUGCCUUUCAGUGGGGGACAACAGUUGGAAACGACUGCUAAUACCGCAUGACACUUCUGAGUGGCAUCACUUAGAAGUCAAAGCUUUAUGUGCUGAAAGAUGGCUUCGCGUCUGAUUAGCUAGUUGGCGGGUAACGGCCCACCAAGGCGACGAUCAGUAGCCGGUCUGAGAGGAUGACCGGCCACAUUGGGACUGAGAUACGGCCCAAACUCCUACGGGAGGCAGCAGUGGGGGAUAUUGCACAAUGGGGGAAACCCUGAUGCAGCGACGCCGCGUGGAGGAAGAAGGUUUUCGGAUUGUAAACUCCUGUCGUUAGGGACGAUAAUGACGGUACCUAACAAGAAA